GAGUGUGGGUAUUAUUUUUGUUCGGUUUUGUGAUAGAGUUUCGGUAGAAUUAGAAUUCUAAGACGGUUGGGUGGUUGAGAAUGUAGUGGGUUAAUGCCAAUUAAAAUGAAAUCUUUUAUUUUUUUUAUUUUGUUUUUCUCUCUCUCAAAGUUUUAACGUUCUUUUUCUGUGACUAGAAAAAUUCUUCCUUUUUCUUUACUUUUGAAAUCCUGUCGAAAUCCUAUCAAUCAACCUCGAAUUUUUGGUUCCCUGCUUUCAUACGUUUUGG
This 268-nucleotide long non-coding RNA is filed under the name Gossypium raimondii (Peruvian cotton). RNAcentral's name for it is "long non-coding RNA (GRAI_LNC000631)". Lineage: Eukaryota; Viridiplantae; Streptophyta; Magnoliopsida; Malvales; Malvaceae. The record is from RNAcentral.